UACGUAGGUGGCAAGCGUUGUCCGGAAUUAUUGGGCGUAAAGCGCGCGCAGGUGGUUUCUUAAGUCUGAUGUGAAAGCCCACGGCUCAACCGUGGAGGGUCAUUGGAAACUGGGGAACUUGAGUGCAGGAGAGAAGAGUGGAAUUCCACGUGUAGCGGUGAAAUGUGUAGAGAUGUGGAGGAACACCAGUGGCGAAGGCGAACUCUUUGGCCUGUAACUGACACUGAGGCGCGAAAGCGUGGGGAGCAAACAGG
RNAcentral lists this ribosomal RNA (254 nucleotides) under uncultured bacterium. Its description in RNAcentral is "partial 16S ribosomal RNA". It matches the Rfam family "Bacterial small subunit ribosomal RNA", at positions 524 to 776 of the family's 1533-position model. The record is from RNAcentral.